RNAcentral lists this ribosomal RNA (301 nucleotides) under uncultured bacterium. RNAcentral describes it as "partial 16S ribosomal RNA". It matches the Rfam family "Bacterial small subunit ribosomal RNA", at positions 509 to 807 of the family's 1533-position model. The record is from RNAcentral.
CAGUAGCCACGGUAAUACGAAGGGGGCUAGCGUUGUUCGGAUUUACUGGGCGUAAAGCGCACGUAGGCGGAUCGAUCAGUCAGGGGUGAAAUCCUGGAGCUCAACUCCAGAACUGCCUUUGAUACUGUCGAUCUCGAGUCCGGAAGAGGUGAGUGGAACUCCUAGUGUAGAGGUGGAAUUCGUAGAUAUUAGGAAGAACACCAGUGGCGAAGGCAGCUCUCUGGGUCCCCACUGACGCUGGGGUGCGAAAGCAUGGGGAGCAAACAGGAUCAGAUACCCCUGUAGUCCCUGUCUCUUAUAC